RNAcentral lists this ribosomal RNA (435 nucleotides) under uncultured bacterium. RNAcentral describes it as "bacterial SSU rRNA". It matches the Rfam family "Bacterial small subunit ribosomal RNA", at positions 335 to 763 of the family's 1533-position model. The record is from RNAcentral.
ACUCCUACGGGAGGCAGCAGUGGGGAAUAUUGCACAAUGGGGAAACCCUGAUGCAGCCAUGCCGCGUGUGUGAAGAAGGCCUUCGGUUGUAAAGCACUUUCAGUAGGGAGGAAGGUAGUGUAGUUAACACCUGCAUUAUUUGACGUUACCUACAGAAGAAGCACCGGCUAACUCCGUGCCAGCAGCCGCGGUAAUACGGAGGGGUGCGAGCGUUAAUCGGAAUUACUGGGCGUAAAGCGCAUGCAGGCGGCCUGUUAAGUCAGAUGUGAAAGCCCGGGGGCUUAACCUCGGAAUUGCAUUUGAAACUGGCAGGCUAGAGUCUUGUAGAGGGGGUAGAAUUUCAGGUGUAGCGGUGAAAUGCGUAGAGAUCUGAAGGAAUACCAGUGGCGAAGGCGGCCCCCUGGACAAAGACUGACGCUCAGAUGCGAAAGCGGU